GAUGAACGCUAGCUACAGGCUUAACACAUGCAAGUCGAGGGGUAACGAGAGGGAAGCUUGCUUUCCUUGUCGACGGCCGGCGGAUGGGUGAGUAACGCGUAUCCAACCUGCCCUUCAGUAAGGGAUAGCCUUUCGAAAGAAAGAAUAAUACCCUAUGUGAUCGUCUGAUGACAUCAGACGACGAUGAAAGAUUUAUCGCUGAAGGAUGGGGAUGCGUCCCAUUAGGCAGUAGGCGGGGUAACGGCCCACCUAACCUACGAUGGGUAGGGGUUCUGAGAGGAAGGUCCCCCACAUUGGAACUGAGACACGGUCCAAACUCCUACGGGAGGCAGCAGUGAGGAAUAUUGGUCAAUGGCCGUAAGGCUGAACCAGCCAAGUAGCGUGCAGGAUGACGGCCCUAUGGGUUGUAAACUGCUUUUAAACGGGGAUAAAGUGAGCCACGUGUGGUCUAUUGCAGGUACCGUUUGAAUAAGGACCGGCUAAUUCCGUGCCAGCCGCCGCAGUAA
RNAcentral lists this ribosomal RNA (506 nucleotides) under uncultured bacterium. Its description in RNAcentral is "partial 16S ribosomal RNA". It matches the Rfam family "Bacterial small subunit ribosomal RNA", at positions 28 to 523 of the family's 1533-position model. The record is from RNAcentral.